GCUGAAGUAGCUCAGCUGGUAGAGCAACUGAUUCGUAAUCAGUAGGUCGGGGGUUCGAUCCCUCUUCCCAGCA
This 73-nucleotide transfer RNA is filed under the name Holosporales bacterium. RNAcentral describes it as "tRNA-Thr". It matches the Rfam family "tRNA". Rfam says of the family: Transfer RNA (tRNA) molecules are approximately 80 nucleotides in length. Their secondary structure includes four short double-helical elements and three loops (D, anti-codon, and T loops). The record is from RNAcentral. Lineage: Bacteria; Pseudomonadati; Pseudomonadota; Alphaproteobacteria; Holosporales.